This 437-nucleotide ribosomal RNA is filed under the name uncultured bacterium. Its description in RNAcentral is "partial 16S ribosomal RNA". It matches the Rfam family "Bacterial small subunit ribosomal RNA", at positions 29 to 507 of the family's 1533-position model. The record is from RNAcentral.
AGCGAACGCUGGCGGCAGGCUUAACACAUGCAAGUCGAGCGGGCAUCCUUGUGGUGUCAGCGGCAGACGGGUGAGUAACGCGUGGGAACGUGCCCUUCGGUUCGGAAUAACUCAGGGAAACUUGAGCUAAUACCGGAUACGUGCGAGAGCAGAAAGGUUUAUCUGCCGAAGGAUCGGCCCGCGUCUGAUUAGCUAGUUGGUGAGGUUACGGCUCACCAAGGCGACGAUCAGUAGCUGGUCUGGGAGGAUGAUCAGCCACACUGGGACUGAGACACGGCCCAGACUCCUACGGGAGGCAGCAGUGGGGAAUAUUGGACAAUGGGGGCAACCCUGAUCCAGCCAUGCCGCGUGAGUGAUGACGGCCUUAGGGUUGUAAAGCUCUUUUCUCCGGGACGAUAAUGACGGUACCGGAGGAAUAAGCCCCGGCUAACUUCGUG